This 497-nucleotide ribosomal RNA is filed under the name uncultured bacterium. RNAcentral describes it as "partial 16S ribosomal RNA". It matches the Rfam family "Bacterial small subunit ribosomal RNA", at positions 28 to 507 of the family's 1533-position model. The record is from RNAcentral.
GAUGAACGCUGGCGGCGUGCCUAACACAUGCAAGUCGAGCGAACGGACGAGAAGCUUGCUUUUCUGAUGUUAGCGGCGGACGGGUGAGUAACACGUGGAUAACCUACCUAUAAGACUGGGAUAACUUCGGGAAACCGGAGCUAAUACCGGAUAAUAUUUUGAACCGCAUGGUUCAAACGUGAAAGACGGUCUUGCUGUCACUUAUAGAUGGAUCCGCGCUGCAUUAGCUAGUUGGUAAGGUAACGGCUUACCAAGGCAACGAUGCAUAGCCGACCUGAGAGGGUGAUCGGCCACACUGGAACUGAGAAUCGGUCCAGACUCCUACGGGAGGCAGCAGUAGGGAAUCUUCCGCAAUGGGCGAAAGCCUGACGGAGCAACGCCGCGUGAGUGAUGAAGGUCUUCGGAUCGUAAAACUCUGCUAUUAGGGAAGAACAUAUGUGUAAGUAACUGUGCACAUCUUGACGGUACCUAAUCAGAAAGCCACGGCUAACUACGUG